RNAcentral lists this microRNA precursor (87 nucleotides) under Lupinus angustifolius (narrow-leaved blue lupine). RNAcentral's name for it is "pre miRNA MIR1446". Lineage: Eukaryota; Viridiplantae; Streptophyta; Magnoliopsida; Fabales; Fabaceae. The record is from RNAcentral.
UCAUCCUAUCCUCAUCCUCAUCCUCAUCCUCAACAUCAUCCUCAUCCUAUGACGAUGAGGACGAGGAUGAGGACCAGGAUAGGAUGA